UACAGAGGUCCCGAGCGUUGUUCGGAUUCACUGGGCGUAAAGGGUGCGUAGGUGGUGAGGUAAGUCGGAUGUGAAAGCUCCGAGCUCAACUCGGAAAUGGCAUUGGAAACUACCUUGCUCGAGGGUUGGAGGGGGGACUGGAAUACUUGGUGUAGCAGUGAAAUGCGUAGAUAUCAAGUGGAACACCAGUGGCGAAGGCGAGUCCCUGGACAACUCCUGACACUGAGGCACGAAAGCUAGGGGAGCAAACAGG
This 253-nucleotide ribosomal RNA is filed under the name uncultured bacterium. Its description in RNAcentral is "partial 16S ribosomal RNA". It matches the Rfam family "Bacterial small subunit ribosomal RNA", at positions 524 to 776 of the family's 1533-position model. The record is from RNAcentral.